UGUAAUGGGUUUCAAAUCGCA
RNAcentral lists this non-coding RNA (21 nucleotides) under Caenorhabditis elegans. Lineage: Eukaryota; Metazoa; Nematoda; Chromadorea; Rhabditida; Rhabditidae. The record is from RNAcentral.